GGCUUUGUGACCAUGGCCCAGACUCUUCUCCUUCUCAUGCUCCUCUCUCACUGCACAGGUUCCCUCUCCCAGCCUGUGCUGACUCAGCCAUCUUCCCAUUCUGAACCUUCUGGAGCUUCAGCCAGACUCACAUGCACGCUGAGCAGUGGCUUCAGUGUUGGCGACUUUUGGAUAAGGUGGUACCAGCAAAAGCCAGGGAAGCCUCCUCGGUAUCUCCUGUACUACCACUCAGACUCAGAUAAGGGCCAAGGCUCUGGAGUUCCCAGCCGCUUCUCUGGAUCCAGCGAUGCAUCAGCCAAUGCAGGGAUUCUGCACAUCUCUGGAAUACAGCCCGAGGAUGAGGCUGACUAUUACUGCUCUACAUGGCACGGCAGCUCUAAGUCUCACACAGUGCUCCAGGCCCAUGAGGUGGUGAGACAAAAACCUCUCCUCUGCUCUCCUGGCCUGGUGCAGUCACCACUGCUGGUGGCUCUGAUUAAGUCUAGCUCAGGGGGUGACAUCUGUUGCCACACUAACAGCACCUGAGCUCCCACUGACAAGUAGGUCUCACAAGGUCCUGCCUUGCACACAUUUCACAGGCAGACAUCCCUUGCUCAGGGAUCAAAUAUCUCAAUGUUGACACUGAAGAAGGCAAGAAGCGUGCGUUGGGGCUCAUCUCAGCUCAGAGUCUAGAAGUGACUCAGAGAUGCUGCUGGUCUGAGAGUUUUAAUAUGAGCCUUGGGAUACAAUACAGGAAUGCAGAAGGGAAUUGUAUUCUCUGUAUCAGCAACGAACCAUCAAUAAUUGAAUAGUCAAUACAUUUAAAAUAGCAUAAAACAUGAAAUACUAGGAUAAGUAUGACAAAAAAUGUUGUUUUACACACUAGAAAUC
Molecule: non-coding RNA, 870 nt
Organism: Sapajus apella (tufted capuchin)
Lineage: Eukaryota; Metazoa; Chordata; Mammalia; Primates; Cebidae
Source: the annotation of a RefSeq genome assembly